Non-coding RNA from Alligator sinensis (Chinese alligator), 312 nucleotides. Lineage: Eukaryota; Metazoa; Chordata; Crocodylia; Alligatoridae. The record is from the annotation of a RefSeq genome assembly.
AUGGUCUCACUGGCUCCCCUGCUCUGCCUCGUGGUGCUCUGGGUCCAGGGUUCCUCCGGGCAGAUUGUGCUGACUCAGACCCCAGAGUCCCUGGCGGUGUCUCCAGGAGAUCGAGUGACCAUCAAGUGCAAAGCCAGCUCCAGCCUUACUUAUAGUAGCUCUGGGAGUACCUAUCAGCUCUUACACUGGUACCAGCAGAAACCUGGACAAGCUCCAAAGCUCCUCAUCUAUGAUGCUUCCACACGGCAGUCAGGAGUCCCAGCCCGGUUCAGCGGCAGUGGCUCUGGCACUGAUUUCACUCUCACCACGUGA